RNAcentral lists this ribosomal RNA (253 nucleotides) under uncultured bacterium. Its description in RNAcentral is "partial 16S ribosomal RNA". It matches the Rfam family "Bacterial small subunit ribosomal RNA", at positions 524 to 776 of the family's 1533-position model. The record is from RNAcentral.
UACGAAGGGGGCUAGCGUUGCUCGGAAUCACUGGGCGUAAAGGGUGCGUAGGCGGGUCUUUAAGUCAGGGGGGAAAUCCUGGAGCUCAACUCCAGAACUGCCUUUGAUACUGAAGAUCUUGAGUUCGGGAGAGGUGAGUGGAACUGCGAGUGUAGAGGUGAAAUUCGUAGAUAUUCGCAAGAACACCAGUGGCGAAGGCGGCUCACUGGCCCGAUACUGACGCUGAGGCUCGAAAGCAUGGGGAGCAAACAGG